UACAGAGGAUGCAAGCGUUAUCCGGAAUGACUGGGCGUAAAGCGUCUGUAGGUGGCUCUUUAAGUCCGCCGUCAAAUCCCAGGGCUCAACUCUGGACAGGCGGUGGAAACUACCAAGCUGGAGUACGGUAGGGGCAGAGGGAAUUUCCGGUGGAGCGGUGAAAUGCGUAGAGAUCGGAAAGAACACCAGCGGCGAAAGCGCUCUGCUGGGCCGACACUGACACUGAGAGACGAAAGCUAGGGGAGCGAAUGGG
This 253-nucleotide ribosomal RNA is filed under the name uncultured bacterium. Its description in RNAcentral is "partial 16S ribosomal RNA". It matches the Rfam family "Bacterial small subunit ribosomal RNA", at positions 524 to 776 of the family's 1533-position model. The record is from RNAcentral.